This 255-nucleotide ribosomal RNA is filed under the name Listeria monocytogenes. Its description in RNAcentral is "partial 23S ribosomal RNA". It matches the Rfam family "Bacterial large subunit ribosomal RNA", at positions 1195 to 1449 of the family's 2925-position model. Lineage: Bacteria; Bacillati; Bacillota; Bacilli; Caryophanales; Listeriaceae. The record is from RNAcentral.
CGCGACUGUGGAUGAACCUCUUUAGAGGUUCGUGGUAGGAGAGCGUUCUAAGGGCGGUGAAGUCAGACCGGAAGGACUGGUGGAGCGCUUAGAAGUGAGAAUGCCGGUAUGAGUAGCGAAAGAAGGGGGAGAAUCCCUUCCACCGAAUAUCUAAGGUUUCCUGAGGAAGGCUCGUCCGCUCAGGGUUAGUCGGGACCUAAGCCGAGGCCGAUAGGCGUAGGCGAUGGACAACAGGUAGAGAUUCCUGUACCAGUG